This 655-nucleotide long non-coding RNA is filed under the name Homo sapiens (human). Its description in RNAcentral is "non-protein coding lnc-TMEM196-2:1". The record is from RNAcentral. Lineage: Eukaryota; Metazoa; Chordata; Mammalia; Primates; Hominidae.
AUUUUGUAAAUGUAAGUAACAAUAAAGAAUAAAACUAUAGCUGAUUAGAUGGUGCCCACCCACAUUGAGGGUGGGUCUGCCUCUCCCAGUCCACUAACACAAAUGUUAAUCUCCUUUGGCAACACCCUCACAGAUACAUCCAGGAACAAUACUUUGCUUUCUAGUGGGAAAGACAAAAUAGGGAAACUUUAUAACUGUAACCAAUCAAAUAUUAUCUUUGUUUUACUUCUGCAUUCAUCCCAUAAAAGCCUGACUUCCUUCAGUUUUUUUUCUGAUUCAGAAAUCAGCUUGCUUUCUCUCUUUCUCUUUCAGGGAUGCCAAUGUGUUGUAGAUUUGGUCUCUAUACAUAAUCCCGUGUUUUUCAGAGGUUUUGUUCGUUCUUGUUUAGUCUUUUUUGUUUUCUGACUGAGUUAUUUCAGAUGCAACCUCCUAAGAUUGAGUCAUGAAUAAUUUGAAUCCCUGAGCAGACCAGUAAUGAGUUUUGAAACUGAAUCAGCAAUAAAUAACCAGAGAGGUGAAACAUCUUUAAAACAAGAACUACAAAAUUCUGCUCAAAGAAAUCAGAGAUGACACAAACAAAUAAAGAAAAAUGUUCCAUGUCCAUAGAUAGAAUCAUGAAAAUUUCCUGUUCAUUAUAUUUUCCAUCAGGUUGUUU